GGGGGGUUCCUGUUCCACCUCCACCAACCUCAAAACGCGGGUGGAAGGGCAGUUUUGGGGGUGCAGGUGCCCCCCCUUGACUCCUCAAGCCCUCCCUCCCUCAGCUCCUGGCCUCGGCCAGUUACGACGACACGGUGAAGCUGUACCGGGAGGAGGAGGACGACUGGGUGUGCUGUGCCACGCUGGAGGGCCACCAGUCCACCGUCUGGAGCGUGGCCUUCGACCGCAGCGGCCAGCGCUUGGCUUCCUGCAGCGACGACAAGACGGUCCGCAUCUGGCAGCAGUACAAGCCGGGCAACGAGGAAGGGGUGGCCUGCAGCGGCAAUGAUCCCACCUGGAAGUGUGUCUGCAACCUCUCUGGCUACCACACCAGGACCAUCUACGACGUGGCGUGGUGCCACCUCACCGGGGCGCUGGCCACCGCCUGCGGCGACGACGCCAUCCGGGUCUUCGAGGAGAGCACGGUGGCUUCCUCCUCCUCCUCCUCUUCCUCGCAUCCGCAGCAGCCCACCUUCAGCCUGGCUGCCCACGUCCCCCGGGCGCACUCGCAGGACGUCAACUGCGUGGCCUGGAACCCCAAGGAGCCGGGUUUGUUGGCCUCCUGCAGCGACGACGGGGAGAUCGCCUUCUGGAGGUACCAGCGCCCCGAAGUCUGCUGAGAACUUCCAGCUCCUCCAGAAUCCUCCCUUCUCCACCAGCCGGGGCCUUCGGAAUCCUCCCUUCUCCUCCAGCCCCUCCGGAAUCCUCACUUCUCCACCAGCCGGGGCCUUCGGUGCGGAGAAGGGGGCAGGGACGAUGGUGACCCACCUCUUCUGCCCCACGAGGUGGGACUUUGGGACGCCCAGGACCCAUCCCUGGGGAUCUGGGUGA
Molecule: long non-coding RNA, 870 nt
Filed under: Calidris pygmaea (Spoon-billed sandpiper)
Lineage: Eukaryota; Metazoa; Chordata; Aves; Charadriiformes; Scolopacidae
Description: lncRNA (ENSCPGG00000014016.1)
Source: RNAcentral